AGAGUUUGAUCAUGGCUCAGAUUGAACGCUGGCGGCAUGCUUAAUACAUGCAAGUCGAACGGUAACAGGUUCUUCGGAAUGCUGACGAGUGGCGGACGGGUGAGUAAAGCAUAGGAAUCUGCCCAUGUAGUGGGGGAUAACUUGGGGAAACUCAAGCUAAUACCGCAUAAUUCCUACGGGAUAAAGAGGGCCUCUACUUGUAAGCUCUUGCUAUUGGAUGAGCCUAUGUCGGAUUAGUUAGUUGGUGAGGUAAUGGCUCACCAAGACAGCGAUCCGUAGCUGGUUUGAGAGGAUGAUCAGCCACACUGGGACUGAGACACGGCCCAGACUCCUACGGGAGGCAGCAGUAGGGAGUAUUGGACAAUGGGCGCAAGCCUGAUCCAGCAAUGCCGCGUGUGUGAAGAAGGCCUGCGGGUUGUAAAGCACUUUCAAUUGGGAAGAAAGAUUUAGAGCUAAUACCUCUUAAUAUUGACG
This 474-nucleotide ribosomal RNA is filed under the name uncultured bacterium. RNAcentral describes it as "bacterial SSU rRNA". It matches the Rfam family "Bacterial small subunit ribosomal RNA", at positions 8 to 474 of the family's 1533-position model. The record is from RNAcentral.